This 322-nucleotide ribosomal RNA is filed under the name uncultured eukaryote. Its description in RNAcentral is "partial 18S ribosomal RNA". It matches the Rfam family "Eukaryotic small subunit ribosomal RNA", at positions 1470 to 1796 of the family's 1831-position model. The record is from RNAcentral.
CCCUUAGAUGUUCUGGGCCGCACGCGUGCUACACUGAGUGGAUCAGCGGGUCAGGUUGCGCGAAAGCGUUUCCUAAUCUUUAAAUCCGCUCGUGAUGGGGAUUGACGGUUGCAAUUUUCUGUCAUGAACGAGGAAUAUCUUGUAAGCGCGGGUCAUCAUCCCGCGCUGAAUACGUCCCUGCCCUUUGUACACACCGCCCGUCGCACCUACCGAUUGGAUGGUCCGGUGAAGCCUCGGGAUUGUGGUUCUUGCCGCUUUAUUGUGGCGUGACCGCGAGAACUUGUCUAAACCUUAUCAUCUAGAGGAAGGUGAAGUCGUAACA